AUGAACCCUGGCGGCAGGCCUAACACAUGCAAGUCGAGCGGCAGCACGGGUACUUGUACCUGGUGGCGAGCGGCGGACGGGUGAGUAAUGCCUAGGAAUCUGCCUAGUAGUGGGGGAUAACGUCCGGAAACGGGCGCUAAUACCGCAUACGUCCUACGGGAGAAAGUGGGGGAUCUUCGGACCUCACGCUAUUAGAUGAGCCUAGGUCGGAUUAGCUAGUUGGUGAGGUAAUGGCUCACCAAGGCGACGAUCCGUAACUGGUCUGAGAGGAUGAUCAGUCACACUGGAACUGAGACACGGUCCAGACUCCUACGGGAGGCAGCAGUGGGGAAUAUUGGACAAUGGGCGAAAGCCUGAUCCAGCCAUGCCGCGUGUGUGAAGAAGGUCUUCGGAUUGUAAAGCACUUUAAGUUGGGAGGAAGGGCAGUUACCUAAUACGUGAUUGUUUUGACGUUACCGACAGAAUAAGCACCGGCUAACUCUGUGCCAGCAGCCGCGGUAAUACAGAGGGUGCAAGCGUUAAUCGGAAUUACUGGGCGUAAAGCGCGCGUAUGUGGUUUGUUAAGUUGGAUGUGAAAGCCCCGGGCUCAACCUGGGAACUGCAUCCAAAACUGGCAAGCUAGAGUAUGGUAGAGGGUGGUGGAAUCUCCUGUGUACCGGUGAAAUGCGUA
Molecule: ribosomal RNA, 670 nt
Filed under: Pseudomonas sp. AaD43b
Lineage: Bacteria; Pseudomonadati; Pseudomonadota; Gammaproteobacteria; Pseudomonadales; Pseudomonadaceae
Description: bacterial SSU rRNA
Rfam family: Bacterial small subunit ribosomal RNA
Source: RNAcentral